GUAGGAUAGGUGGGAGGCUUUGAAGUGUGGACGCCAGUCUGCAUGGAGCCGACCUUGAAAUACCACCCUUUAAUGUUUGAUGUUCUAACGUUGACCCGUAAUCCGGGUUGCGGACAGUGUCUGGUGGGUAGUUUGACUGGGGCGGUCUCCUCCUAAAGAGUAACGGAGGAGCACGAAGGUUGGCUAAUCCUGGUCGGACAUCAGGAGGUUAGUGCAAUGGCAUAAGCCAGCUUGACUGCGAGCGUGACGGCGCGAGCAGGUGCGAAAGCAGGUCAUAGUGAUCCGGUGGUUCUGAAUGGAAGGGCCAUCGCUCAACGGAUAAAAGGUACUCCGGGGAUAACAGGCUGAUACCGCCCAAGAGUUCAUAUCGACGGCGGUGUUUGGCACCUCGAUGUCGGCUCAUCACAUCCUGGGGCUGAAGUAGGUCCCAAGGGUAUGGCUGUUCGCCAUUUAAAGUGGUACGCGAGCUGGGUUUAGAACGUCGUGAGACAGUUCGGUCCCUAUCUGCCGUGGGCGCUGGAGAACUGAGGGGGGCUGCUCCUAGUACGAGAGGACCGGAGUGGACGCAUCACUGGUGUUCGGGUUGUCAUGCCAAUGGCACUGCCCGGUAGCUAAAUGCGGAAGAGAUAAGUGCUGAAAGCAUCUAAGCACGAAACUUGCCCCGAGAUGAGUUCUCCCUGACUCCUUGAGAGUCCUGAAGGAACGUUGAAGACGACGACGUUGAUAGGCCGGGUGUGUAAGCGCAGCGAUGCGUUGAGCUAACCGGUACUAAUGAACCGUGAGGCUUAACCUUACAACGCCGAAGGUGUUU
This 811-nucleotide ribosomal RNA is filed under the name Shigella boydii. RNAcentral's name for it is "partial 23S ribosomal RNA". It matches the Rfam family "Bacterial large subunit ribosomal RNA", at positions 2138 to 2925 of the family's 2925-position model. Lineage: Bacteria; Pseudomonadati; Pseudomonadota; Gammaproteobacteria; Enterobacterales; Enterobacteriaceae. The record is from RNAcentral.